CCCGCUGAACUUAAGCAUAUCAGUAAGCGGAGGAAAAGAAACUAACGAGGAUUCCCCUAGUAACUGCGAGUGAACAGGGAUCCCGCUGCUCGACGCUCAAGCCCCGUUAAAUGGCGAGAUGGGCAAGUUUACUUGUUUACCGUCUCCUCGUAGGGGCAGUUUGGCGGAAUGCGUACGCUGCGAUCCAAAAUUGGCGUGCGGCUGUGGGCUUGCACAAGUCCUCGUGACCGUGGCUGUUGUACCCAGAGAGGGUGACAGGCCCGUGCUGGAUAACCUUCGGGUUACGGAGCCCUUUGGCCCGCGCUAGGAUCGAUGUGGUGCGCGAAGAGUCAGAUUGCUUGAGAGUGUAAUCCAAAGAAAGGUGGUAAACUCCAUCAAAAGCUAAAUAAUUUUCCACCAGACCGAUAGCGAACAAGUACCGUGAGGGAAAGAUGAAAAGCACUUUGGAAAGAGAGUUAAACAGUACGUGAAAUUGUUGAAAGGGAAACGUUUGAAGUCAGUCGCGUCGGCCGAGACUCAGCCUCGCUUUUUCAGCUUGGUGCACUUCUCGGUUGACGGGUCAGCAUCAAUUUUGAUCGCCGGAAAAGGGCUGGGGGAAUGUGGCAUCUCUCGAGAUGUGUUAUAGCCCUCGGUUCGCAUACGGCGGUUGGGAUUGAGGAACUCAGCGCGCCUUUAUGGUCGAGGCUUUUGCCUACGCAACGCGCUUAGGAUGCUGGCAUAAUGGCUUUAAGCGACCCGUCUUGAAACACGG
RNAcentral lists this ribosomal RNA (751 nucleotides) under uncultured fungus. RNAcentral describes it as "eukaryotic LSU rRNA". It matches the Rfam family "Eukaryotic large subunit ribosomal RNA", at positions 24 to 664 of the family's 3401-position model. Lineage: Eukaryota; Fungi. The record is from RNAcentral.